RNAcentral lists this ribosomal RNA (667 nucleotides) under Tritodynamia horvathi. Its description in RNAcentral is "partial 16S ribosomal RNA". It matches the Rfam family "Archaeal large subunit ribosomal RNA", at positions 1921 to 2831 of the family's 2987-position model. The record is from RNAcentral. Lineage: Eukaryota; Metazoa; Arthropoda; Malacostraca; Decapoda; Varunidae.
GUCUGUUUGGAGGUAUAAAAAGUUUAACCUGCCCACUGAUUAAUAUAAUAUAUUAAAUGGCCGCGGUAUUUUGACCGUGCAAAGGUAGCAUAAUCGUUAGUUUUUUAAUUGGAAUCUUGUAUGAAUGGUUGGACAAAAGAAAAUCUGUCUCUAUAUUGGUUAUCGAAUUUAACUUUUAAGUGAAAAGGCUUAAAUAAAUUAAAGGGACGAUAAGACCCUAUAAAGCUUAAUAUUAAAAUUUUAUUUAGUUAAAUUUUAUACUAUAAAAACUUCGUAAUUAAAUUUAUUUUAUUGGGGCGAUAAAAGUAAAAUUAUUAUUACCUGCUUAAUUUUUAAUACAUAAAUUGAUGAUUAAAUUUUUAAAUGAUCCUAAAUAAAGAUUAAAAGUUUAAGUUACUUUAGGGAUAACAGCGUUAUUUUUCUUGAGAGUACUUAUCGAAAGAAAAGUUUGCGACCUCGAUGUUGAAUUAAAAUAUCUUUAUAAUUGUAGCAGUUAUAAUAGUAGGUCUGUUCGACCUUUAAAAUUUUACAUGAUUUGAGUUCAAACCGGCGUGAGCCAGGUUGGUUUCUAUCUUUUAAUGAUAAAAAAUUAUUUUAGUACGAAAGGAUUGAAUAAUUAAAAUUAUUUUUUAAUUGGUUACUAUUUUGGCAGAUAAUAUGUGUUGGA